This 559-nucleotide ribosomal RNA is filed under the name Pseudomonas sp. RNAcentral describes it as "bacterial SSU rRNA". It matches the Rfam family "Bacterial small subunit ribosomal RNA", at positions 71 to 626 of the family's 1533-position model. The record is from RNAcentral. Lineage: Bacteria; Pseudomonadati; Pseudomonadota; Gammaproteobacteria; Pseudomonadales; Pseudomonadaceae.
GAGAGAAGCUUGCUUCUCUUGAGAGCGGCGGACGGGUGAGUAAUGCCUAGGAAUCUGCCUGGUAGUGGGGGAUAACGCUCGGAAACGGACGCUAAUACCGCAUACGUCCUACGGGAGAAAGCAGGGGACCUUCGGGCCUUGCGCUAUCAGAUGAGCCUAGGUCGGAUUAGCUAGUUGGUGAGGUAAUGGCUCACCAAGGCGACGAUCCGUAACUGGUCUGAGAGGAUGAUCAGUCACACUGGAACUGAGACACGGUCCAGACUCCUACGGGAGGCAGCAGUGGGGAAUAUUGGACAAUGGGCGAAAGCCUGAUCCAGCCAUGCCGCGUGUGUGAAGAAGGUCUUCGGAUUGUAAAGCACUUUAAGUUGGGAGGAAGGGCAUUAACCUAAUACGUUGGUGUCUUGACGUUACCGACAGAAUAAGCACCGGCUAACUCUGUGCCAGCAGCCGCGGUAAUACAGAGGGUGCAAGCGUUAAUCGGAAUUACUGGGCGUAAAGCGCGCGUAGGUGGUUCGUUAAGUUGGAUGUGAAAUCCCCGGGCUCAACCUGGGAACUGCAU